Molecule: ribosomal RNA, 503 nt
Filed under: uncultured bacterium
Lineage: Bacteria
Description: partial 16S ribosomal RNA
Rfam family: Bacterial small subunit ribosomal RNA
Source: RNAcentral
AUUGAACGCUGGCGGCAGGCUUAACACAUGCAAGUCGAGCGGGGUGAUGGUGCUUGCACUAUCACUUAGCGGCGGACGGGUGAGUAAUGCUUAGGAAUCUGCCUAUUAGUGGGGGACAACAUCUCGAAAGGGAUGCUAAUACCGCAUACGUCCUACGGGAGAAAGCAGGGGAUCACUUGUGACCUUGCGCUAAUAGAUGAGCCUAAGUCGGAUUAGCUAGUUGGUGGGGUAAAGGCCUACCAAGGCGACGAUCUGUAGCGGGUCUGAGAGGAUGAUCCGCCACACUAGGACUGAGACACGGCCCAGAGUCCUACGGGAGGCAGCAGUGGGGAAUAUUGGACAAUGGGGGGAACCCUGAUCCAGCCAUGCCGCGUGUGUGAAGAAGGCCUUAUGGUUGUAAAGCACUUUAAGCGAGGAGGAGGCUCUUUUGGUUAAUACCCAAGAUGAGUGGACGUUACUCGCAGAAUAAGCACCGGCUAACUCUGUGCCAGCCGCCGCAGUAA